This 1835-nucleotide ribosomal RNA is filed under the name Staphylococcus aureus. Its description in RNAcentral is "partial 23S ribosomal RNA". It matches the Rfam family "Bacterial large subunit ribosomal RNA", at positions 357 to 2196 of the family's 2925-position model. Lineage: Bacteria; Bacillati; Bacillota; Bacilli; Caryophanales; Staphylococcaceae. The record is from RNAcentral.
AAAGAAGGUAAUAAUCCUGUAGUCGAAAAUGUUGUCUCUCUUGAGUGGAUCCUGAGUACGACGGAGCACGUGAAAUUCCGUCGGAAUCUGGGAGGACCAUCUCCUAAGGCUAAAUACUCUCUAGUGACCGAUAGUGAACCAGUACCGUGAGGGAAAGGUGAAAAGCACCCCGGAAGGGGAGUGAAAUAGAACCUGAAACCGUGUGCUUACAAGUAGUCAGAGCCCGUUAAUGGGUGAUGGCGUGCCUUUUGUAGAAUGAACCGGCGAGUUACGAUUUGAUGCAAGGUUAAGCAGUAAAUGUGGAGCCGUAGCGAAAGCGAGUCUGAAUAGGGCGUUUAGUAUUUGGUCGUAGACCCGAAACCAGGUGAUCUACCCUUGGUCAGGUUGAAGUUCAGGUAACACUGAAUGGAGGACCGAACCGACUUACGUUGAAAAGUGAGCGGAUGAACUGAGGGUAGCGGAGAAAUUCCAAUCGAACCUGGAGAUAGCUGGUUCUCUCCGAAAUAGCUUUAGGGCUAGCCUCAAGUGAUGAUUAUUGGAGGUAGAGCACUGUUUGGACGAGGGGCCCCUCUCGGGUUACCGAAUUCAGACAAACUCCGAAUGCCAAUUAAUUUAACUUGGGAGUCAGAACAUGGGUGAUAAGGUCCGUGUUCGAAAGGGAAACAGCCCAGACCACCAGCUAAGGUCCCAAAAUAUAUGUUAAGUGGAAAAGGAUGUGGCGUUGCCCAGACAACUAGGAUGUUGGCUUAGAAGCAGCCAUCAUUUAAAGAGUGCGUAAUAGCUCACUAGUCGAGUGACACUGCGCCGAAAAUGUACCGGGGCUAAACAUAUUACCGAAGCUGUGGAUUGUCCUUUGGACAAUGGUAGGAGAGCGUUCUAAGGGCGUUGAAGCAUGAUCGUAAGGACAUGUGGAGCGCUUAGAAGUGAGAAUGCCGGUGUGAGUAGCGAAAGACGGGUGAGAAUCCCGUCCACCGAUUGACUAAGGUUUCCAGAGGAAGGCUCGUCCGCUCUGGGUUAGUCGGGUCCUAAGCUGAGGCCGACAGGCGUAGGCGAUGGAUAACAGGUUGAUAUUCCUGUACCACCUAUAAUCGUUUUAAUCGAUGGGGGGACGCAGUAGGAUAGGCGAAGCGUGCGAUUGGAUUGCACGUCUAAGCAGUAAGGCUGAGUAUUAGGCAAAUCCGGUACUCGUUAAGGCUGAGCUGUGAUGGGGAGAAGACAUUGUGUCUUCGAGUCGUUGAUUUCACACUGCCGAGAAAAGCCUCUAGAUAGAAAAUAGGUGCCCGUACCGCAAACCGACACAGGUAGUCAAGAUGAGAAUUCUAAGGUGAGCGAGCGAACUCUCGUUAAGGAACUCGGCAAAAUGACCCCGUAACUUCGGGAGAAGGGGUGCUCUUUAGGGUUAACGCCCAGAAGAGCCGCAGUGAAUAGGCCCAAGCGACUGUUUAUCAAAAACACAGGUCUCUGCUAAACCGUAAGGUGAUGUAUAGGGGCUGACGCCUGCCCGGUGCUGGAAGGUUAAGAGGAGUGGUUAGCUUCUGCGAAGCUACGAAUCGAAGCCCCAGUAAACGGCGGCCGUAACUAUAACGGUCCUAAGGUAGCGAAAUUCCUUGUCGGGUAAGUUCCGACCCGCACGAAAGGCGUAACGAUUUGGGCACUGUCUCAACGAGAGACUCGGUGAAAUCAUAGUACCUGUGAAGAUGCAGGUUACCCGCGACAGGACGGAAAGACCCCGUGGAGCUUUACUGUAGCCUGAUAUUGAAAUUCGGCACAGCUUGUACAGGAUAGGUAGGAGCCUUUGAAACGUGAGCGCUAGCUUACGUGGAGGCGCUGGUGGG